Molecule: non-coding RNA, 469 nt
Organism: Carica papaya (papaya)
Lineage: Eukaryota; Viridiplantae; Streptophyta; Magnoliopsida; Brassicales; Caricaceae
Source: RefSeq, a predicted model, not a curated record
UACAUCUCUUACUUCUUGUAGCCUGAACAAUUGAACAAGAUAUUUGAGCUUUGCGGGUCACCUGAUGAAAAUAAUUGGCCAGGGGUUUCUAAGAUUCCUUGGUAUGCUAACUUCAAGCCAUCAAGGCCCAUGAAGAGACGUGUUAGGGAGGUUUUCAGACAUUUUGACCGCCAUGCCCUUGAUUUAUUGGAGAGAAUGCUGACACUUGAUCCAUCCCAGAGGAUAUCUGCAAAAGAUGCACUUGAUGCUGAAUAUUUCUGGGCUGACCCUUUACCUUGCGAUCCCAAGAGGUAAUUUCCAUGUCUCUGAUUAGAUCAUACACUUGAUCCAUUGUCUUGAGUUUAUUGUUCGUCUUCAAGAUAACGAAAAAGGCUGGUGCUAAACUUGCAUAUCCAGUGGAGAACUAAAAUAUGUUAUGCUAUGUGGCGGACAGUUUUCGUUUCUUAUAUCAUGUCUACAUACAUCUUUC